AUGAAGUGUCAGUUCUAAGUUACUAUAAAAUUAACAGAAUCAGUUCUCCAUGGAAGGCAUUGUGUCUCUAUGUAGGUACUUGAGCCUUACCAGCCCUGUGUCUCUGCAGUGCGUCCAGCCACCUGUGGCCUUCUGGUGACUGGCUGUUCUUCUCAGACUUUGCCUAAUCUGUGGGUUUCAGCAUCUCUCCACGUGUAAUAGUUGCUAAAUCUUCACAUUCUGUCCUUGCAGCUUCUCAGCUUAUAUUAAACUGACCACAUGAUGAAGUCUGUGGUCACGUGCACCUAGAAAUGUGAGUUAUUGCACUGGUUGGUGUAGAGUGUAAAGAGACAUGUUCUGCUCAGAUCCUUGUGCUGUAGCUGUAAGUAGGGAGUUCUGCUUGUGCUUGGUUAAGAGCAGAUAAGCAUGCUGGUACCUUUGAAGAUGAACUGCAUAUCGUGCUAAUUUUCACGUAUGCAGAAAUUUGCUUUUUAGGAUGUUAUUCCCAAUAAUAGAUAAACACAAAGUUCAAGCUACGUACUAUCCAGAAUACUAUAUAAGGGGAAACUGCAGAGAUGAGGAAGAAAGUUUGGGGCUCUGCUGUAGAAGGAAGAAAUGCUAUGGAGAUUUGGGGUGGGUAGGGUGGAUAUCAUGAAAAACAUUUUCAUGAUGAAAAUCAUGAACUGAUUGAAUUGAAUUACUCAAGGAAAGCAUGGAGCCACCUUGAGUAGAAAGAGUUUAGACAAAUACCUGUCAGAAAAACUUGAUUAGGAGGGAAAAGAUCGUAAGGAAGAUAUUGUUGGUUUCAAAUGUAAUGGUUUUGUUGUUAUUGUUUUUUGACUUGGGGAAAAAAAAAUAGACUCUUUUUGAUGCUUAAGGCAGGAUGCCAAUUUGCACUUUGCUUCCCCUUGCACCUAAAAAUAUGACUCAGCUGACUCUGGUAAUGUAUUUAAGCCCUGUGAUUGUGUUGUGGUAACAACAUGUGAUAUUCUUAACCUUUUUCUGUCUGCUGAACUGAAAAUGGAUAAUACCAAUUUCAAUUAUAGUACUGUCUUAUUCUUUCAUGACUGUUUCCAGGCACGUUCUGUAUGUACAUGUUGUCUGUUGCCAAGUACAGUUACUGCACAAUUUACAAGGGUCUUUUGUCGGAGUUGUACAGAGGUAUUGCUGCUGAGUUGUUGUUUUAUUUUUUUUUUAAGGCUCUUUGAGAGACAAAAGGGAAUACAUGACAAAACCUGUUAUUGACUGCUAAUGACUGGUUGAGGAAAAUAAGGGAUGUUGAAAAUGAAGCGUGGAGGAAGGAUAUACUGGAAUCAGUGGAACUAGAACUGUGCUUCUCUGUGAUCUAUUGGACUUUAGAUACACCAGCAUCAUCUCAUCGUUCAUACCUGCCAUGCAUUCUGGUAAUCUUCUUUACCUUGGGACUGUGCUUGGUCUUGUAGAAUCCGGUAAUAUAGAUUUCUUUCUUUGGAUCCAAAGCUGUUGGAAGAAGAAGUCCUGACAGCCCCAUGUUGAGCAAAGCAGAAUUUGUUGAGAAAGUUCGACAGAGCAACCAGGCUUGCCACGAUGGUGACUUCCACACAGCAAUCGUGUUGUACAAUGAGGCCUUGGGAGUUGAUCCUCAGAACUGCAUUCUGUACAGUAACCGUUCAGCAGCCUACAUGAAAAUCCAGCAGUAUGACAAGGCCCUGGAUGAUGCCAUCAAAGCAAGACUUCUAAAUCCUAAAUGGCCAAAGGUAAGAAAGUGUAUCACUCUAUCAAGAGGAACUUCAUCAGGAUUAUUUCUCAUACUAAUAACCUAAUGUAGAGAACUGCAAAUAUUUCUGGGUUAACGUCUGCUUUUACUAAAAGCUGUAGAUAACUUUUUGUGUUCAAAAGUUGUUUAACUUGAAUUUCCUGCUGGGUUAUUAAACUUUUUUUGUGUGAGGUGCAAUACUGUCUUACUACUUUAAACCAGCAUCGUUUCUGAGUUGUGAAGACCAGGCAUCUUUUAACAGUAACUUAGCUGUAAGUUGCAUCCAGGAGCAUUCUGUUGCAAUGUGGCACGGAGGUCAUUAGUAAUAAUGGAGCAAUAAAAUCUUUGCAAUAGUGUUCUAAGAGUUUUUGUGUAUGUGAUGGAUAAACACUUUAAGAAAUGUGCACCUCAGUGUACUUGGCAAAGUCUGACCAUGCAAGGAAAUGUUUUGUAAAGAGUAGAUGGUGUUGAUUACCUGUUCCUUCCGGGAUUGUUUCCCACUGGCUGAUUUUGAUUGCUUCAGUGACUCUGACUGUCUAGCUAGCUAACUCAGGGUCUGCCCUUUACAUGCUAAUCCAUUU
This is a non-coding RNA of Meleagris gallopavo (turkey), 2295 nucleotides long. The record is from RefSeq and is a predicted model, not a curated record. NCBI's taxonomy places the organism in Eukaryota, Metazoa, Chordata, Aves, Galliformes, Phasianidae.